GGGGUGCUCGAAUGGCGAACGGGUGAGUAACACGUGAGUAACCUGCCCUUGACUUUGGGAUAACUUCAGGAAACUGGGGCUAAUACCGGAUAGGAGCUCCUGCUGCAUGGUGGGGGUUGGAAAGUUUCGGCGGUUGGGGAUGGACUCGCGGCUUAUCAGCUUGUUGGUGGGGUAGUGGCUUACCAAGGCUUUGACGGGUAGCCGGCCUGAGAGGGUGACCGGCCACAUUGGGACUGAGAUACGGCCCAG
RNAcentral lists this ribosomal RNA (249 nucleotides) under uncultured Actinomycetales bacterium. Its description in RNAcentral is "partial 16S ribosomal RNA". It matches the Rfam family "Bacterial small subunit ribosomal RNA", at positions 84 to 334 of the family's 1533-position model. Lineage: Bacteria; Bacillati; Actinomycetota; Actinomycetes; Actinomycetales. The record is from RNAcentral.